RNAcentral lists this ribosomal RNA (289 nucleotides) under uncultured bacterium. RNAcentral's name for it is "partial 16S ribosomal RNA". The record is from RNAcentral.
CUACACGGGUUUCUAAUCCCAUUCGCUCCCCUGGCUUUCGUUCCUCAGCGUCAGUUAUGGCCCAGCAAGCCGCCUACGCCACCGGUGUUCUUCCCAAUAUCUACGCAUUUCACCGCUACACUGGGAAUUCCGCUUGCCUCUACCAUACUCUAGUCUGCCAGUAUCCAAUGCACUCCCGAGGUUGAGCCUCAGUCUUUAACAUCAGACUUAACAAACCACCUACGAACUCUUUACGCCCAAUAAAUCCGGACAACGCUUGCAUCCUACGUCUUACCGCGGCUGCUGGCAC